UGAAAGCAUCUAAGCACGAAACUUGCCCCGAGAUGAGUUCUCCCUGAGACUUUAAGUCUCCUGAAGGAACGUUGAAGACGACGACGUUGAUAGGCCGGGUGUGUAAGCGCAGCGAUGCGUUGAGCUAACCGGUACUAAUGAACCGUGAGGCUUAACCUUACAACGCCGAAG
This 171-nucleotide ribosomal RNA is filed under the name Escherichia coli. RNAcentral's name for it is "partial 23S ribosomal RNA". It matches the Rfam family "Bacterial large subunit ribosomal RNA", at positions 2772 to 2925 of the family's 2925-position model. Lineage: Bacteria; Pseudomonadati; Pseudomonadota; Gammaproteobacteria; Enterobacterales; Enterobacteriaceae. The record is from RNAcentral. RNAcentral also lists the same sequence under 2 other names.